RNAcentral lists this transfer RNA (67 nucleotides) under Marmota monax (woodchuck). RNAcentral describes it as "tRNA.Ala". The record is from RNAcentral. Lineage: Eukaryota; Metazoa; Chordata; Mammalia; Rodentia; Sciuridae.
GGCUGUAGCUCAGUGGUAGAGUGCUUGCCUUGCACGUGUGAGGCACUGAGUUUGAUCCUCAGAAUCA